This is a non-coding RNA of Kockovaella imperatae, 112 nucleotides long. The record is from the annotation of a RefSeq genome assembly. NCBI's taxonomy places the organism in Eukaryota, Fungi, Basidiomycota, Tremellomycetes, Tremellales, Cuniculitremaceae.
GCCCUCAUCGUAUAACGGUUAGUACGUGGGUCUCAUAUCGAGAAAAAUGAGGGCUCUAUGAGCUCAUAACCCCCUCCAUCCCGAAAUCUCAGUUCGAUUCUGAGUGAAGGCA